UGAAGCCUCUGUCUCCAGGGAUCAAGCAAUCCUCCUGCCUCAGCCUCCCGAGUAGCUGGGAUUCCAGGCAUGUGCCACCAUGCGCAGCUAACUUUUUUCUAUAUUUUUUGCAGAUACAGGCUUCUGCCAUGUCGCCCAGGCUGGUCUCAGACUCCUGGACUCAAGCCAUCCACCUGCCUUGGCCUCCCAAAGUGUUGGGAUUACAGGCAUGAGCCACCACGCCUGGCCUAAAAACUUUUAUCUGUGAAUUUUCUAUUUCUUCCUCCCACUGGGUUUUCAUCUCUAGCCAGUCACUAUAUUUGACUUGCUGAUUUGUAUUUUCUUUUUAGGAUUUUACAGUUUUUGGAGGCAGUCUGUCAGGAGCACAUGCCCAAAAGAUCUGCAAAAUCAUGGACCAGGCCAUAACGGUGGGGGCUCCAGUGAUUGGGCUGAAUGACUCUGGGGGAGCACGGAUCCAAGAGGGAGUGGAGUCUUUGGCUGGCUAUGCAGACAUCUUUCUGAGGAAUGUUACGGCAUCCGGAGUCAUCCCUCAGAUUUCUCUGAUCAUGGGCCCAUGUGCUGGUGGGGCCGUCUACUCCCCAGCCCUAACAGACUUCACGUUCAUGGUAAAGGACACCUCCUACCUGUUCAUCACUGGCCCUGAUGUUGUGAAGUCUGUCACCAAUGAGGAUGUUACCCAGGAGGAGCUCGGUGGUGCCAAGACCCACACCACCAUGUCAGGUGUGGCCCACAGAGCUUUUGAAAAUGAUGUUGAUGCCUUGUGUAAUCUCCGGGAUUUCUUCAACUACCUGCCCCUGAGCAGUCAGGACCCGGCUCCCAUCCGUGAGUGCCAUGAUCCCAGUGACCGUCUGGUUCCUGAACUUGACACAAUUGUCCCUUUGGAAUCAACCAAAGCCUACAACAUGGUGGACAUCAUACACUCUGUUGUUGAUGAGCGUGAAUUUUUUGAGAUCAUGCCCAAUUAUGCCAAGAACAUCAUUGUUGGUUUUGCAAGAAUGAAUGGGAGGACUGUUGGAAUUGUUGGCAACCAACCUAAGGUGGCCUCAGGAUGCUUGGAUAUUAAUUCAUCUGUGAAAGGGGCUCGUUUUGUCAGAUUCUGUGAUGCAUUCAAUAUUCCACUCAUCACUUUUGUUGAUGUCCCUGGCUUUCUACCUGGUAAGUUUUUGACAGAGUGGGGGCUAGUAGAGUUGCCUUUCCCAGUAAGGUGCCCACUUUAUUUGGAGAUCUUCUUGCAGAACUCCCCGAGGACUUGUGACUUCUCCAUGUAUUCUGGGUGUCCAGAAGAUAGGGCUGUGUAAGGAAUGGCCCUCUCCAGAGGUGGGAAAGACCUCACAGCUGAGAGUGGCAGGAUAACCAUGUGAGGACUUGUGGGUAUCUAGUAACUCUUCCUCAUGUCUAGGCACAGCACAGGAAUACGGGGGCAUCAUCCGGCAUGGUGCCAAGCUUCUCUACGCAUUUGCUGAGGCAACUGUACCCAAAGUCACAGUCAUCACCAGGAAGGCCUAUGGAGGUGCCUAUGAUGUCAUGAGCUCUAAGCACCUUUGUGGUGAUACCAACUAUGCCUGGCCCACCGCAGAGAUUGCAGUCAUGGGAGCAAAGGGCGCUGUGGAGAUCAUCUUCAAAGGGCAUGAGAAUGUGGAAGCUGCUCAGGCAGAGUACAUCGAGAAGUUUGCCAACCCUUUCCCUGCAGCAGUGCGAGGGUUUGUGGAUGACAUCAUCCAACCUUCUUCCACACGUGCCCGAAUCUGCUGUGACCUGGAUGUCUUGGCCAGCAAGAAGGUACAACGUCCUUGGAGAAAACAUGCAAAUAUUCCAUUGUAAACAAAUCAAAGGAAAAGAAACCAAGAACUGAAUUACUGUCUGCCCAUUCACAUCCCAUUCCUGCCUUUUGCAAUCAUGAAACCUGGGAAUCCAAAUAGUUGGAUAACUUAGAAUAACUAAGUUUAUUAAAUUCUAGAAAGAUC
RNAcentral lists this small RNA (1964 nucleotides) under Pan troglodytes (chimpanzee). Its description in RNAcentral is "retained intron". The record is from RNAcentral. Lineage: Eukaryota; Metazoa; Chordata; Mammalia; Primates; Hominidae.